UUGGUGGUGAUUUAGACCCCCCUAGAGGAGCCUGUUCUAGAACCGAUAACCCCCGAUUAACCUCACCCUCUUUUGCUUUUUCCGCCUAUAUACCGCCGUCGUCAGCUUACCCUGUGAAGGACAAAUAGUAAGCAUAACUAGUAAAACCCAAAACGCCAGGUCGAGGUGUAGCACAUGAGAGGGGAAGAAAUGGGCUACAUUUCCUGCCCCAGGAAAUCACGAAUAAUGUGAUGAAACACACAUUAGAAGGAGGAUUUAGCAGUAAGUGGAGAAUAGAGAGCCCCACUGAAACCGGCCCUGAAGCGCGCACACACCGCCCGUUCAC
Molecule: ribosomal RNA, 325 nt
Filed under: Pseudetroplus maculatus (orange chromide)
Lineage: Eukaryota; Metazoa; Chordata; Actinopteri; Cichliformes; Cichlidae
Description: partial small subunit ribosomal RNA
Rfam family: Bacterial small subunit ribosomal RNA
Source: RNAcentral